Vicia faba (fava bean) is the source of this 219-nucleotide non-coding RNA. The record is from the annotation of a GenBank genome assembly. Lineage: Eukaryota; Viridiplantae; Streptophyta; Magnoliopsida; Fabales; Fabaceae.
AUGAAAGAAUGUGAAGCAAUUUUUUUAAAAUACUCCCUUUGCCAUGCUCCGGAUCAGCGACGUGUGGCCAUUCACUGUCCACACGAUGGGAUGUCUGUUGACUGGUCCUUCUACGCACUAGCAUACGGUACGCUCCAGUCAACACGUGAUCUUAACUCUCUAUUUGACAUACUUCUGAUCAACGUCCCUAAAUUAAUUUCUGGUGACCUUAUGAUUUGA